RNAcentral lists this ribosomal RNA (479 nucleotides) under uncultured organism. RNAcentral describes it as "partial 16S ribosomal RNA". It matches the Rfam family "Bacterial small subunit ribosomal RNA", at positions 331 to 801 of the family's 1533-position model. The record is from RNAcentral.
CGUCACUCCUACGGGAGGCAGCAGUGGGGAAUUUUGGACAAUGGGCGAAAGCCUGAUCCAGCCAUGCCGCGUGCAGGAUGAAGGCCUUCGGGUUGUAAACUGCUUUUGUACGGAACGAAACGGCCUUUUCUAAUAAAGAGGACUAAUGACGGUACCGUAAGAAUAAGCACCGGCUAACUACGUGCCAGCAGCCGCGGUAAUACGUAGGGUGCAAGCGUUAAUCGGAAUUACUGGGCGUAAAGCGUGCGCAGGCGGUUAUGUAAGACAGUUGUGAAAUCCCCGGGCUCAACCUGGGAACUGCAUCUGUGACUGCAUAGCUAGAGUACGGUAGAGGGGGAUGGAAUUCCGCGUGUAGCAGUGAAAUGCGUAGAUAUGCGGAGGAACACCGAUGGCGAAGGCAAUCCCCUGGACCUGUACUGACGCUCAUGCACGAAAGCGUGGGGAGCAAACAGGAUUAGAAACCCGGGUAGUCCCAUGAU